Molecule: long non-coding RNA, 852 nt
Filed under: Gallus gallus (chicken)
Lineage: Eukaryota; Metazoa; Chordata; Aves; Galliformes; Phasianidae
Description: lncRNA (ENSGALG00010020621.1)
Source: RNAcentral
CGAUGACAGCAUCAUAUUGAGGCAGAAGAAAACAAACACAUCGUUUGACAAAUGCAGGCCCUACUGCAGUCCCUACUGGAACUCCUAUAGCUCCUGUAAGAUCAGCACUAUGCCCUGUACUUCAAGUCUAUUUCUGCAAGCGCUUCCUAUUGAAAAAGCUUCAAGUCCCCCUUGCAUUCAGCAGCAAUCCCUGCUCUUCCAGAUCCCUGCCCCACAGGGGCACGUGGACCAGCAGGCAGCUCUCCAUCAGUAUGCAGUCUGAGAGGGACUCAGGGAAAAAGCAACCCUCUCACCUCACCCACCGUGGCAGAAUGCAGGCACUGCUGCGAGGUGCUGCAGCUGAUGUGUGCCCUGCAGAACAGCUGCAGGCAGAGGGCAGCUCCGUGCUCAGCCAGGAGCAGCUCCAGGCACCCCGGCCUGCCAGGUCCAUGCCUUGCCAAGCACACUGCACAAGUCAGGCCCAUUCGUUUUGUAGCUGUUUUCAACGUGUCAGAUACCAGCAUUAGAAAGCACUCAGGCGUACAUCAUUUCAGCAGGCUCCUUGGAGCACAGGCAAGUAUCCCAGAGUAAUUUUCACUUUGUGUUUGAAAUGCAAGAGGCGAGUGCACAUGCUUCCCUCUUUUUCCUGAAGGGAGUAGAAGACUUCAGCAUUUCUUUCCAUGUUGCACUGUAGGAUUCAGCUGGGAGUUUCCAUGGUUUUCCAGCUUUAUCACGUGGCAGCAAGGUUUCAUCUUCCCCAUCAGACAAGCUGAUGCUGCAUCCAACUCCAAGAGAUGUAGGAUUCCAGCUUAUUGAAGCACUACUCAACAGAUCUCUAUCCCUUCCAACCCAACCACCACCACCAGUCUGCAU